Molecule: ribosomal RNA, 252 nt
Filed under: uncultured bacterium
Lineage: Bacteria
Description: partial 16S ribosomal RNA
Rfam family: Bacterial small subunit ribosomal RNA
Source: RNAcentral
UACAGAGGGUGCAAGCGUUAAUCGGAAUUACUGGGCGUAAGCGUGCGCAGGCGGCUGCUCAAGUCAGGGUGAAAGCCCAGAGCUCAACUCUGGAAUUGCCUUUGAGACUGAGUGGCUUGAGUACGGGAGAGGUGAGUGGAAUUCCCAGUGUAGAGGUGAAAUUCGUAGAUAUUGGGAAGAACACCGGUGGCGAAGGCGGCUCACUGGCCCGUAACGUGACGCUCUGCACGGACAGCGUGGGGAUCAAACAGG